RNAcentral lists this ribosomal RNA (398 nucleotides) under uncultured bacterium. Its description in RNAcentral is "bacterial SSU rRNA". It matches the Rfam family "Bacterial small subunit ribosomal RNA", at positions 362 to 776 of the family's 1533-position model. The record is from RNAcentral.
UAUUGCGCAAUGGGGGAAACCCUGACGCAGCAACGCCGCGUGAGUGAAGAAGUAUCUCGGUAUGUAAAGCUCUAUCAGCGGGGAAGAAGGAAGACGGUACCCGACUAAGAAGCCCCGGCUAACUACGUGUCAGCAGCCGCGGUAAUACGUAGGGGGCGAGCGUUAUCCGGAUUUACUGGGUGUAAAGGGAGCGUAGACGGCGUCGCAAGUCUGAAGUGAAAGCCCGUGGCUCAACCGCGGAACCGCUUUGGAAACUGCGAGGCUGGAGUGCUGGAGAGGUAAGCGGAAUUCCUAGUGUAGCGGUGAAAUGCGUAGAUAUUAGGAGGAACACCAGUGGCGAAGGCGGCUUACUGGACAGUAACUGACGUUGAGGCUCGAAAGCGUGGGGAGCAAACAGG